UUCUUGUUCAGGUCGUGGCCCGGGUCGAGGACGAUCUGCUCGUCGCGGACGCCGAGCGUCCGGGCCCGUUCGAGCCGGGUGGCGAGGAA
This 89-nucleotide transfer RNA is filed under the name bioreactor metagenome. RNAcentral's name for it is "tRNA-Gln". The record is from RNAcentral.